RNAcentral lists this ribosomal RNA (265 nucleotides) under uncultured bacterium. RNAcentral's name for it is "partial 16S ribosomal RNA". It matches the Rfam family "Bacterial small subunit ribosomal RNA", at positions 793 to 1055 of the family's 1533-position model. The record is from RNAcentral.
GUCCACGCUGUAAACGAUGGGUGCUGGACGUUGGUGGGUUUACCUGCCGGUGUCGCAGCUAACGCGUUAAGCACCCCGCCUGGGGAGUACGGUCGCAAGAUUAAAACUCAAAGGAAUUGACGGGGCCCGCACAAGCGGUGGAGCAUGUGGUUUAAUUCGACGCAACGCGAAGAACCUUACCAGCUCUUGACAUGGGAAGUAUGGGCCCUGGCGACGGGGUCCUUCAGUUCGGCUGGCUUCCACACAGGUGCUGCAUGGCUGUCGU